RNAcentral lists this ribosomal RNA (586 nucleotides) under uncultured bacterium. RNAcentral describes it as "bacterial SSU rRNA". It matches the Rfam family "Bacterial small subunit ribosomal RNA", at positions 224 to 801 of the family's 1533-position model. The record is from RNAcentral.
GAUGGACCCGCGGUGCAUUAGCUAGUUGGUGAGGUAACGGCUCACCAAGGCAACGAUGCAUAGCCGACCUGAGAGGGUGAUCGGCCACACUGGGACUGAGACACGGCCCAGACUCCUACGGGAGGCAGCAGUAGGGAAUCUUCGGCAAUGGACGAAAGUCUGACCGAGCAACGCCGCGUGAGUGAAGAAGGUUUUCGGAUCGUAGAACUCUGUUGUUGGAGAAGAACAAGGAUGAGAGUAAAACGUUCAUCCCUUGACGGUAUCUAACCAGAAAGCCACGGCUAACUACGUGCCAGCAGCCGCGGUAAUACGUAGGUGGCAAGCGUUGUCCGGAUUUAUUGGGCGUAAAGCGAGCGCAGGCGGUUUCUUAAGUCUGAUGUGAAAGCCCCCGGCUCAACCGGGGAGGGUCAUUGGAAACUGGGAGACUUGAGUGCAGAAGAGGAGAAUGGAAUUCCAUGUGUAGCGGUGAAAUGCGUAGAUAUAUGGAGGAACACCAGUGGCGAAGGCGGCUCUCUGGUCUGUAACUGACGCUGAGGCUCGAAAGCGUGGGGAGCGAACAGGAUUAGAUACCCUGGUAGUCCACGCC